Molecule: ribosomal RNA, 235 nt
Filed under: uncultured bacterium
Lineage: Bacteria
Description: partial 16S ribosomal RNA
Rfam family: Bacterial small subunit ribosomal RNA
Source: RNAcentral
UACGUAGGGUGCGAGCGUUAAUCGGAAUUACUGGGCGUAAAGCGUGCGCAGGCGGUUUUGUAAGACAGGCGUGAAAUCCCCGGGCUCAACCUGGGAAUGGCGCUUGUGACUGGCAAAGCUGGAGUGCGGCAGAGGGGGAUGGAAUUCCGCGUGUAGCGGUGAAAUGCGUAGAUAUGCGGAGGAACACCGAUGGCGAAGGCAAUCCCCUGGACCUGUACUGACGCUCAUGCACGAA